CUCUACUCUAAUAUGACUGAUGUAAUUAUAAAAAGGAAACAUUUGGACACAGACACAGACAUACACAGUAGAAAGAUUAUGUGAAGACGCCUCUGGGUAGAAGAAGACCACACGAAGAUGGAAGCAGAGAUUCAAGUUAUGUUACCACAAGCCAAGGAAUGCCUGAGACCACUGGAAGCUAGGAAGAGACAAGAAGAGAUAUUUCCCUUGAUGCCUGAGAGGGAGCAUGGCCCUGCUGACACCUGAAUCUGGGACUUCCAGCCACCAGAACAGUGGGACAAUAAAUCUCUGUGGUUGUAAGCCAUCCAGUUUGUGGUACUUCAUUACAGAAGCCCUAGGAAACUAACGGAGAGCCCUUGCUGGUAUCUGCAGCUGUGACUGCUGGAAAAUGUCAGAGGGAGCCAGAACUAAACUAAGGUCUCUGCUUCAGUAAACUUAUCCAACUCAAGCCUCCAACUGCCAUUUAUAUCAUAUGACUUCCAAAGGUAUUUAUCUUUACUCAUGACCUCUCCCUGAGCUCCAGAAUCAAGUCUCCAACUGAUUCGUGAAUAGCACCUCUUGAAUAUCUAAUGGCAUCCCAAAAUUAGCAUGACCAAAUCAAGACUUUGAAUUCAAUACCCAGCCAAACUUCCCCUACUCUACUCUAUAGAAGAAAAUGACAUCACCAUCUACUAAGUUAUUCAACACCCAGGAGACUUCUUCCUUCUCCUCUACUACCAUAUGCAAUCUAUCUGUGUGUCCUGUGAGUUCUACCUCCAAAAUAUGUGCUAGGUCAGUUCCCUGAGAUACUCACUCUGAGAGGGAGAUUUAUAAUAAAAGAAUUUAGCAAAAAAUGCCACUGGGGGGCCAGCCCCAUGGCCUAGUGGUUAAGUUCAGUGCACUCUGCUUUGGUGGCCAGGGUUCAGUACCCAGGCAUGGACCUGCACCAGUUGGUAGCAGCCAUGAUGUGGUGGUGUCCCAUAUACAAAAUAGAGGAAGAUUGGCACAGAUAUUAUCUCAGGUCUCCUUAGGAAUUUUCAGCCAAUCCAAACUCUGGGACAGUUGUGAAGGAAGUUGUCAUGGUGGGCUUGCUGCAGCUGGACCCCAUUGUGUCUGCUCCAGAACUUCACAGGAUCUUCAUCUGAGCCUAGAAGGCUUGGUGUAAAGCUCUGGCAGCCUCAGCUUAGCUUCACCACUGAUGGCCACCAUAUCGAGGCAAAGAACUAUUUUUUCACAUCUUUCUCAAAUCUUGUUGGGUGGCUCAUAGAAUGAAGUAGAACGGACCACAGAGAAAGGUACUAGGAUUCAUUUCUUCGUGCCAGAAGUAAUUGAAUUACAGAGGUAUAUUCUCGCUGACUUAAAAGUUGCUGUUUGGUAUGUUAAACUAUCACCUACACUUAUUGUUUUGCUUUUAAUAUUCUUCCUUAUACGUCCCUUCGUUACCAUUUCCAAGCCUAAGAACUGUGGGUUAUCUAUAGUCGUUCAUUAAUGUGUUAGUUACCCUCAGUUAGUAAAUACUUGAAGAAACGGGAAUUCUUGAAGCUUUGGUAGUUGCUCAAGAAAAAGCCAUCAAAUAAUAGGGGAUAGAAAAGCCUCAAGUAAAACUAG
Molecule: long non-coding RNA, 1587 nt
Filed under: Equus caballus (horse)
Lineage: Eukaryota; Metazoa; Chordata; Mammalia; Perissodactyla; Equidae
Description: lncRNA (ENSECAG00000044727.1)
Source: RNAcentral